This 603-nucleotide ribosomal RNA is filed under the name uncultured fungus. RNAcentral's name for it is "eukaryotic LSU rRNA". It matches the Rfam family "Eukaryotic large subunit ribosomal RNA", at positions 23 to 641 of the family's 3401-position model. The record is from RNAcentral. Lineage: Eukaryota; Fungi.
ACCCGCUGAACUUAAGCAUAUCAAUAAGCGGAGGAAAAGAAACCAACAGGGAUUGCCCUAGUAACGGCGAGUGAAGCGGCAACAGCUCAAAUUUGAAAUCUGGCUCUUUUAGAGUCCGAGUUGUAGUUUGCAGAGGGCGCUUUGGCUUUGGCAGCGGUCCAAGUUCCUUGGAACAGGACGUCACAGAGGGUGAGAAUCCCGUACGUGGUCGCUGGCUAUUGCCGUGUAAAGCCCCUUCGACGAGUCGAGUUGUUUGGGAAUGCAGCUCUAAAUGGGAGGUACAUUUCUUCUAAAGCUAAAUAUUGGCCAGAGACCGAUAGCGCACAAGUAGAGUGAUCGAAAGAUGAAAAGCACUUUGGAAAGAGAGUCAAACAGCACGUGAAAUUGUUGAAAGGGAAGCGCUUGCAGCCAGACUUGCUUACAGUUGCUCAUCCGGGCUUUUGCCCGGUGCACUCUUCUGUAGGCAGGCCAGCAUCAGUUUGGGCGGUAGGAUAAAGGUCUCUGUCACGUACCUCUCUUCGGGGAGGCCUUAUAGGGGAGACGACAUACUACCAGCCUGGACUGAGGUCCGCGCAUCUGCUAGGAUGCUGGCGUAAUGGCUGU